GUUCAACCACCAUAUGGUUUUGGUUAUGGAAAUGUUGAGGGAUAUAAUGGACAAGUUUACCAAGAGUUGAUACAUUUUCAUAUGAAUUCACAACCACCACAAAUGUUUAGUGAUGAGAAUCCUAAUGCAUGCAUUGUCAUGUGAAGUGUGAGUUGUCACUAUGUCAGAAAUUAAUUUCAAUUCAAUUCAAUUCAACAUGGUGGUGGUGAUGAAUGAUGAUAAUCAUGAUAGUGGUCUUUUAUUGAUUCCAUGAGACAGGGAAAAAAGAGUAGCAACUAGAGUGGUCAGUGAGUCACUAGAGUCUUUCUUAUUGUUUUCUUUUUAAAAAAAAUGUUUUGUUCUAUGUAUGUAAGGAAGGGUUUUGAUGCAAUUAAAUUAACCAAUACAUAUGGAAAUACCAAUUUAAUAAUUUGUUGUUUUUGCUCCAUUUGUAAUGCAAUCAAGAUUUUAGGCUAUUUUAGAUUUGCUAUAAGAUUAAUUUUCGAGUCGUCGUAAUGGUGUGACUUUUUGUGCCUCUCUCUUUGUGUAUCUUGAACGACUCCAAAAAUCA
RNAcentral lists this long non-coding RNA (550 nucleotides) under Trifolium pratense (red clover). Its description in RNAcentral is "long non-coding RNA (TPRA_LNC007597)". The record is from RNAcentral. Lineage: Eukaryota; Viridiplantae; Streptophyta; Magnoliopsida; Fabales; Fabaceae.